GCAUGAACGCUGGCGGUAUGCUUAACACAUGCAAGUCGAACGGAUGUUUUCGGACAUUAGUGGCGGACGGGUGAGUAACGCGUGAGAAUCUGCCUAUAGGUUGGGGACAACAGAUGGAAACGUCUGCUAAUACCCGAUGUGCCGAGAGGUAAAAGCUUUAGUGCCUGUAGAUGAGCUCGCGUCCGAUUAGCUAGUUGGUUAGGUAAAGGCUGACCAAGGCGACGAUCGGUAGCUGGUCUGAGAGGAUGAUCAGCCACACUGGGACUGAGACACGGCCCAGACUCCUACGGGAGGCAGCAGUGGGGAAUUUUCCGCAAUGGGCGAAAGCCUGACGGAGCAAUACCGCGUGCGGGACGAAGGCUUUUGGGUCGUAAACCGCUUUUGUUAGGGAAGAAUAACUGACGGUACCUAACGAAUCAGCAUCGGCUAACUCCGUGCCAGCAGCCGCGGUAAUACGGGGGAUGCAAGCGUUAUCCGGAAUUAUUGGGCGUAAAGCGUCCGCAGGUGGUUUAUCAAGUCUGCUGUCAAAGCGUGGGGCUUAACCCCAUAAAGGCAGUGGAAACUGAGAGACUAGAGUACGGUAGGGGUAGCGGGAAUUCCCAGUGUAGCGGUGAAAUGCGUAGAUAUUGGGAAGAACACCAGCGGCGAAGGCGCGCUACUGGGCCGAAACUGACACUCAUGGACGAAAGCUAGGGGAGCGAAAGGGAUUAGAUACCCCUGUAGUCCUAGCUGUAAACGAUGACAACUAGGUGUUGCGCG
RNAcentral lists this ribosomal RNA (759 nucleotides) under uncultured cyanobacterium. RNAcentral's name for it is "bacterial SSU rRNA". It matches the Rfam family "Bacterial small subunit ribosomal RNA", at positions 26 to 829 of the family's 1533-position model. Lineage: Bacteria; Bacillati; Cyanobacteriota. The record is from RNAcentral.